Long non-coding RNA from Dermacentor albipictus, 1205 nucleotides. RefSeq lists it as uncharacterized. NCBI's taxonomy places the organism in Eukaryota, Metazoa, Arthropoda, Arachnida, Ixodida, Ixodidae. The record is from RefSeq and is a predicted model, not a curated record.
CUUCGGCGAUCAUCUUCGUGGUGCUGUCCCACCGCUUUGCUUCCUGGAAGGCGCUGCAUCAUCCACACGGGGUGAAUCUGCGAUUGCGUAGCCUCAUCGGGGCCUGCGCCCAGCAUCGGCAAGAUCACCACUGGAGUUCGCUGCGAUCGCAGGGUGCCCUAUAAACAAGCCGACAUCGACGCCUGCUCUUCAUUGGCAGCAGCGGCAUUGCAUGACCCAAAGUUAAGCCAGAAUCUUCUGUUUGCGCAGCUCUCUUUGUCGGCCUUUGUUUCUUCGGCGAUCAUCUUCGUGGUGCUGUCCCACCGCUUUGCUUCCUGGAAGGCGCUGCAUCAUCCACACGGGGUGAAUCUGCGAUUGCGUAGCCUCAUCGGGGCCUGCGCCCAGCAUCGGCAAGAUCACCACUGGAGUUCGCUGCGAUCGCAGGGUGCCCUAUAAACAAGCCGACAUCGACGCCUGCUCUUCAUUGGCAGCAGCGGCAUUGCAUGACCCAAAGCUAAGCCAGAAUCUUCUGUUUGCGCAGAUAAGGUUCGCAAAAACCACAGCUAUUGGCGACAUCAGGAGCUUCCCUGGUGAAACAACAAACGAGCACUGGACCUGGCCAAGUCGACACCAGCUGAUUCUUCACUUCUCACCAGUGCUCAGGCGAAGGCUGUGCUUCCUACACAUACACACCAACUUUCACUUGUUGGAGGCUCCAAUUUACGGGCGUUCGUAGCCGGUGUCCUUCGCUUCCUGUUCAGUGAUGCCGUGGGGCAGCAGUUCAGCAUGCUUGGGCAACGCAAGAAGAGAAGAUUGAAAGAUAUGGUUAUUUACAGCGUCAUUGAACAGGCCAUUAGGAGCAACUCUACAUAUGACAAUGCAACAUCCUAUGCGAUUCGUAUUGCGGCGGGAUCCUGGCUCAAGAACUGCACUUCGAGGAUGAUGGCUGCUAAAAAGAAACUUGGCGAAGAUCCCAAUGACUCAAGCUUCUGUGACUAAGCAUUCAGAGUAGCAACUCAAUUUUUUUUUAUCAUCUGCUCUCAAAGUUAUCACUGUGCUAUUGCUCAGAGUUCUGACAGCACACUCUCACACAAUUUUGGAUUGAGGCAAAGUUGUCCGUGCAUUUUCAUGCAUUUCGUUUCAUAGGGGCCCCACAAUGCCUGUAGAAAAAAAAUGUGGAGUUUGUUAGGUAUGAAGGAGACACUCUCGCAAAUUGUUUUCAAAUA